UAAUGGCCUACCAAGGCGAUGAUCGGUAGCCGGCCUGAGGGGGCGCACGGCCACACUGGAACUGAAACACGGUCCAGACUCCUACGGGAGGCAGCAGUGGGGAAUUUUGCGCAAUGGGGGAAACCCUGACGCAGCAACGCCGCGUGGAGGAUGAAGUCCCUUGGGACGUAAACUCCUUUCGACCCGGACGAUAAUGACGGUGCGGGUGGAAGAAGCCCCGGCUAACUUCGUGCCAGCAGCCGCGGUAAUACGAGGGGGGCAAGCGUUGUUCGGAAUUAUUGGGCGUAAAGGGCGCGUAGGCGGUGCGGUAAGUCACCUGUGAAACCUCUAGGCUUAACCUAGAGCCUGCAGGCGAAACUGCCGUGCUUGAGGGUGGGAGAGGUGCGUGGAAUUCCCGGUGUAGCGAUGAAAUG
RNAcentral lists this ribosomal RNA (413 nucleotides) under uncultured Acidobacteriota bacterium. Its description in RNAcentral is "bacterial SSU rRNA". It matches the Rfam family "Bacterial small subunit ribosomal RNA", at positions 258 to 688 of the family's 1533-position model. The record is from RNAcentral. Lineage: Bacteria; Pseudomonadati; Acidobacteriota.